AACUUAAAUAUAUAUUUAAUGUAUGUUAUGAGCAUGGUUAUGAUAAGCAAUUUUUAAAAGUUAAAAGGACAUUACAAGGUGAGAAUAUCAACAAAAGCAAUAGUAACAUAAGAAGUAUGGAUUACUUACCAGUCCCAUAUACUAUAAAAAACCUGAGUUUUACAAGAGAAGUAGCAAGGAAGACUGGAAAAAGAUUAACAACACGCAGGGUGCCAACAAUUUUUAAUAAACUGCAUAACGAAAAAGACCCGCUUGAACAUCAUGAAAGACUGGGAGUGUAUAAAAUACCCAUUAAAUACAAUAAUACACAACAGCAGGCAGCC
Molecule: long non-coding RNA, 323 nt
Filed under: Androctonus crassicauda
Lineage: Eukaryota; Metazoa; Arthropoda; Arachnida; Scorpiones; Buthidae
Source: RNAcentral